UGGAAGGUUUCUUGGAUAUACUAAGUAUGAACCCAGUCAGAUCUGAAAAGAAGCAGCUGUAAUAUUGAUGUAUAGGUUAAGAAAUCUUCCAUGA
This 94-nucleotide signal recognition particle RNA is filed under the name Candidatus Pelagibacterales bacterium. RNAcentral's name for it is "signal recognition particle sRNA small type". It matches the Rfam family "Bacterial small signal recognition particle RNA". From Rfam's summary of the family: The signal recognition particle (SRP) is a universally conserved ribonucleoprotein involved in the co-translational targeting of proteins to membranes. Archaeal SRP consists of a 7S RNA and homologues of the eukaryotic SRP19 and SRP54 proteins. Lineage: Bacteria; Pseudomonadati; Pseudomonadota; Alphaproteobacteria; Candidatus Pelagibacterales. The record is from RNAcentral.